UGCGGAUAGCUAGAUUUUUUUUGGGUCUGCUUCUGGAGGUUGCUAGUGGUCGACUUCUUCGCGCCGUUAAUGGCGGCACGCGUUCCUCCGAUCUCCCGAAGCUCUCUGGUGAAGUUCCUCCUCCUCCUCCCCCUCCUCCUGUAGAAAUUGUCCGGAGGGAUCGCUCUGCUGGAGGAUCAUCGGUCGGGCGGGGAGGAGAAUCGGCGCCCGGCAUUCAUCGGAUUCACACGGCUGCCGGCGUUAGGGUCGAAACCAGAGGCCAUUUCAGCGCUGUAGAGAGAGAGUAGGCGUCGGCUUUUGAACGAUGGAAUGCAGAGCGGAUUCCGGAAACGCGCUCCAUUUCCGGCAAAUCAAAGGUUUUCCCUCCUCUUCCUCUCUCUCUCUCUCUCUCUCUCUCUCUCUCUCUCUCUCUAGAUCAGCGGAAGUUUUCACGCUUCCCUGCGUGUUUUACCUACUCAAUCGAAAGUCAUCUGCUCAUUGAUUCAUGAAAAAGUUUGCUGCCUCGCGUCAUGCACCAUAUGAGAACAAGAAAAUUUCAAAACGUUCCGUACUUCCACCUUGAGACGCUAGAUCGGAGCAAGAAUAAGAGGGAGGCGGAAAAGGAAGUUCAUUACGAACGUCUUUCACUUUUGCCGUGCGGAACCCCAAGAUGAUCAGUCCCCCCUUUAUUUCCCCAUCCGGGAUUAAGAUGUGGACCAAGUUGACAUCGAAAACUCAUUUCACAGGAGCAGUUCAAGGCUUCCGAAGAAGGAUAUACAGCACUACAGAGGGGUAGCAACAAUCCCCAAAUAGCAAACAUGAAAUUUUGAGGAUUCGUUUGAAGCUCAUCAGUAGGUACAUUAUGCAAAAAAAAAUUGUCUCAGAGGAGUGGAUGGAUGAAGCUAUUUGAUGAAACUUGUGUGCUGCAUGUGUGAUCGGUGGCCCUUUCUUUGUGUAUCAUUUCAAGAAGAUUUGCUUCCAUCAUCUCUGCUUCCGCUUGCUAUGUUUCAAGGGAAGACAACAGCCUGAUGUCGGCGACCCCAGUAACUGCAGUUCUUCCAGACGGCUAGAACAUGGCACCUGACAGAAUUAGAUCGAGUUUAGCCGAUUAAGAUGCCAGAAAUGAACCCCAGUGUUUCAGGUCCCUA
This 1127-nucleotide long non-coding RNA is filed under the name Spirodela polyrhiza (greater duckweed). RNAcentral describes it as "long non-coding RNA (SPOL_LNC000619)". Lineage: Eukaryota; Viridiplantae; Streptophyta; Magnoliopsida; Alismatales; Araceae. The record is from RNAcentral.